CAAUAGCGUAUAUUUAAGUUGUUGCAGUUAAAAAGCUCGUAGUUGGAUUUCGGGUGGGACGCAGCGGUCUCGCAUUGCGUUUGUACUGCUGCAGCCCUCCUUCUUGCCGGGGGCGGCCUCUCGGACUUCACUGUCUGGGGGUCAGAAUCGGCGAUGUUACUUUGAGUAAAUUGGAGUGUUCAAAGCAAGCUUACGCUCUGAAUAUAAUAGCAUGGGAUAACACGACAGGACUCUGGCCUAUCGUGUUGGUCUAUAGGACCAGAGUAAUGAUUAAGAGGGACAGUCGGGGGCAUUCGUAUUCCGUUGUCAGAGGUGAAAUUCUUGGAUUUACGGAAGACGAACAUCUGCGAAAGCAUUUGCCAAGGAUGUUUUCAUUGA
Molecule: ribosomal RNA, 378 nt
Filed under: uncultured eukaryote
Lineage: Eukaryota
Description: partial 18S ribosomal RNA
Rfam family: Eukaryotic small subunit ribosomal RNA
Source: RNAcentral